CAUCCUUCUCAUCGCCUGCGCCUCCCAGCUGGUCGCCGCCGUUCAGCAGCCCUCCUCCUCCUUCUCCCUCCUUUCCACCAACGCCGACAAAGGAAGAAGGGGCUGCCAUCGUCGGUUUGGCCUCCUGCCGGCGUCCUUUCGGUAAACCGACACCGAAAUCGGACUCCCCACCCAGAAGCGACCCUCUUUGCCGUGAAAUCCCCCGUUGGCAGCCUCGGGAAGCUUCACCGUAGCAAUACCUUUUCGGCCUCGAUCCAGGUGCCUUUCGGUCACUUUCCGACCAGAAUUCUUGUAUUUUUAGACUCCUCAC
RNAcentral lists this long non-coding RNA (310 nucleotides) under Ricinus communis (castor bean). RNAcentral's name for it is "long non-coding RNA (RCOM_LNC003117)". The record is from RNAcentral. Lineage: Eukaryota; Viridiplantae; Streptophyta; Magnoliopsida; Malpighiales; Euphorbiaceae.